RNAcentral lists this ribosomal RNA (496 nucleotides) under uncultured bacterium. RNAcentral's name for it is "partial 16S ribosomal RNA". It matches the Rfam family "Bacterial small subunit ribosomal RNA", at positions 28 to 507 of the family's 1533-position model. The record is from RNAcentral.
GAUGAACGCUGGCGGCGUGCCUAAUACAUGCAAGUCGAGCGAACAGACGAGGAGCUUGCUCCUUCGACGUUAGCGGCGGACGGGUGAGUAACACGUAGGUAACCUACCUAUAAGACUGGGAUAACUUCGGGAAACCGGAGCUAAUACCGGAUAAUAUUUCGAACCGCAUGGUUCGAUAGUGAAAGAUGGCUUUGCUAUCACUUAUAGAUGGACCUGCGCCGUAUUAGCUAGUUGGUAAGGUAACGGCUUACCAAGGCAACGAUACGUAGCCGACCUGAGAGGGGGAUCGGCCACACUGGACCUGGGACACGGUCCAGCCCCCUACGGGAGGCAGCAGUGGGGAAUCUUCCGCAAUGGGCGAAAGCCUGACGGGGCAACGCCGCGUGGGUGAUGAAGGUCUUCGGAUCGUAAACUCUGUUAUUAGGGAAGAACAAACGUGUAAGUAACUGUGCACGUCUUGACGGUACCUAAUCAGAAAGCCACGGCUAACUACGUG